UUUUUGUGCUUGAAUUGAUAUUUUUACAAUCUCAACAAAUCUUAGCUUAUAAAGGGAGACAUAUACAACUCCACAGCCAUAAACACCCAUCAUUAGGUGUUUUAAGGCUCCAUAAACUCCAACCAUUAUCACUUAUAACAACCUACUUAAGAGCUACUUAUGAUAGCCCUUUGGGCUGCUUAAAAUCUAUAUUUUUAGCUGAAAACUUCUUUUUGGGCUUUCAUUCACACAUUAUUUUUAACAAUCCCCUCAUGAAUGAAAAUUUCAUGCAAAUCGAUGUAGACUUGAGAAAGAGACGACGGAUAAUUCUUACAUAGGAUAGGGCUUUCAUUCACACAUUAUUUUUAACAAUCCGCUCAUGAAUGAAAAUUUCAUGCCAAUCG
Molecule: long non-coding RNA, 383 nt
Filed under: Actinidia chinensis (golden kiwifruit)
Lineage: Eukaryota; Viridiplantae; Streptophyta; Magnoliopsida; Ericales; Actinidiaceae
Description: long non-coding RNA (ACHI_LNC000617)
Source: RNAcentral